This is a long non-coding RNA of Camelus dromedarius (Arabian camel), 396 nucleotides long. RefSeq lists it as uncharacterized. The transcript is spliced from 2 exons. Lineage: Eukaryota; Metazoa; Chordata; Mammalia; Artiodactyla; Camelidae. The record is from RefSeq and is a predicted model, not a curated record.
UAGAGCUAAUUAGCUUCAUGCCCCUGGAAUGGCCCAGUUAGCAAACGGGUGAUCGCCUGGAGAUGGUAAAGAAAAGAUGUGCACAGGGCAGACUGUUGAGACCAAAGGAGUUCUAUUUUCUCUUCCGACCCUGAAGUCUGUGAUCCUGUCUCUCUGCUAACAUGGAAUUGAAGAUUCAGAUACUUGAUACCUCUAGUAUCUCGAUACCUCUGCACCUGAGGCCUAAGAAGCAACCCCCUCCAAGCUCCUCACAAGGCUGAGACCCUUCUUCGUGACAGAGUAUAGAAGUAACAGACAUGCCCAACGGUUUCAGACCGUCUCUAGAACGUUUCAGUUUCCAGCGAAUGAAGAUUUUCCUCCUUUCCUUUGAACAGUAAUUACAUUUUACAAAUUCUC